UAGCUCAGCAUGGGAGAGCGCCUCGUUCGCAACGAGGAGGUCGCCGGUUCGAGCCCGACG
Molecule: transfer RNA, 60 nt
Filed under: Acidobacteriota bacterium
Lineage: Bacteria; Pseudomonadati; Acidobacteriota
Also listed under: 2 other names
Description: tRNA-Ala
Rfam family: tRNA
About the family: Transfer RNA (tRNA) molecules are approximately 80 nucleotides in length. Their secondary structure includes four short double-helical elements and three loops (D, anti-codon, and T loops).
Source: RNAcentral